GAACGGGCCAACGAGUUACGUUAAGUAGCAAGGUUAAGCACUUAAGGUGUGGAGCCGUAGCGAAAGCGAGUUUUAACUGAGCGUUCAGUUACUUGACGUAGACCCGAAACCGGGCGACCUACCCAUGGGCAGGAUGAAGCGAAAGUAAAAUUUCGUGGAGGUCCGAACCCACGAGCGUUGAAAAGCUCGGGGAUGACUUGUGGGUAGCGGUGAAAUUCCAAUCGAG
This 226-nucleotide ribosomal RNA is filed under the name Clostridioides difficile. Its description in RNAcentral is "partial 23S ribosomal RNA". It matches the Rfam family "Bacterial large subunit ribosomal RNA", at positions 613 to 837 of the family's 2925-position model. The record is from RNAcentral. Lineage: Bacteria; Bacillati; Bacillota; Clostridia; Peptostreptococcales; Peptostreptococcaceae.